AUUGAACGCUGGCGGCAGGCCUAACACAUGCAAGUCGAGCGGAUGAAGGGAGCUUGCUCCUGGAUUCAGCGGCGGACGGGUGAGUAAUGCCUAGGAAUCUGCCUGGUAGUGGGGGAUAACGUCCGGAAACGGGCGCUAAUACCGCAUACGUCCUGAGGGAGAAAGUGGGGGAUCUUCGGACCUCACGCUAUCAGAUGAGCCUAGGUCGGAUUAGCUAGUUGGUGGGUAAAGGCCUACCAAGGCGACGAUCCGUAACUGGUCUGAGAGGAUGAUCAGUCACACUGGAACUGAGACACGGUCCAGACUCCUACGGGAGGCAGCAGUGGGGAAUAUUGGACAAUGGGCGAAAGCCUGAUCCAGCCAUGCCGCGUGUGUGAAGAAGGUCUUCGGAUUGUAAAGCACUUUAAGUUGGGAGGAAGGGCAGUAAGUUAAUACCUUGCUGCUUUGACGUUACCAACAGAAUAAGCACCGGCUAACUUCGUG
RNAcentral lists this ribosomal RNA (483 nucleotides) under uncultured bacterium. RNAcentral describes it as "partial 16S ribosomal RNA". It matches the Rfam family "Bacterial small subunit ribosomal RNA", at positions 30 to 507 of the family's 1533-position model. The record is from RNAcentral.